Molecule: long non-coding RNA, 405 nt
Organism: Ornithodoros turicata
Lineage: Eukaryota; Metazoa; Arthropoda; Arachnida; Ixodida; Argasidae
Exons: 3
Source: RefSeq, a predicted model, not a curated record
ACAAACAAGUUCUUUUAUUCUCUUUCUCCAGGAAAGUUUCAACGAUCUCUUCGUGGACACAAUGACGCCUCUACGUUUCGCUGUUGUCUUCGUCCUCCUCUUUGGUGUAUCUGUCGCCAGUGAAGCGGCACCUGAAGGACACGAGCUUGAACGUCGUCAACUUGACGUCCAGCUCUGCCUUUGUAUUGGGGGUGUCACUUGCCCUAAUGGGGGCCGUUGCACAAAGGCAAGCGGUUGCAGCAAAUGCUCCGCUCUCGGUGGAUGAACAACAUGGCUGACCGGCAACCCUUAACAACGAAACGAUCAAUUGCACGUAUAUGAAAUAAGAGACCCUGGUCUUUUCUUUUACUAACAUGGUCAUAGGUGGCGGGAACUUUUGAGGGCAAUAAAUUGUACUAAGCAGCA